GGAUGGGAUGGAGGCAACCCUGAUCCAGCCAUGCCGCGUGUGUGAAGAAGGCCUUCGGGUUGUAAAGCACUUUCGGACGGAACGAAAUCGCACGGGUGAAUAUCCCGUGUGGAUGACGGUACUGUAAGAAGAAGCACCGGCUAACUACGUGCCAGCGGCCGCGGUAAUACGUAGGGUGCGAGCGUUAAUCGGAAUUACUGGGCGUAAAGCGUGCGCAGGCGGCUUCGCAAGUCAGACGUGAAAUCCCCGG
Molecule: ribosomal RNA, 250 nt
Filed under: uncultured bacterium
Lineage: Bacteria
Description: partial 16S ribosomal RNA
Rfam family: Bacterial small subunit ribosomal RNA
Source: RNAcentral